This is an RNA transcript of Prinia subflava (tawny-flanked prinia), 6200 nucleotides long. It is a transcript of the gene named peptidase M20 domain containing 1, with no coding region annotated. The transcript has 15 exons. NCBI's taxonomy places the organism in Eukaryota, Metazoa, Chordata, Aves, Passeriformes, Cisticolidae. The record is from RefSeq and is a predicted model, not a curated record.
GCGGUGAUUGGCUGCCGAGCGGCGGGCGUGCGCCGGGCAGUGAUGGCGGGCGGGCGGCGGGCGGUGACGGCGGCGCUGCUGGCGCUGGGCUCGGUGGUGCUGGCGCUGGCGGCCGCCGUGCUGCUCCGCGCCUUCGUCCUGCGAGCCCCGGCCGGGGUUCCGCGGCUCUGGGCACGGAGCGCCGGCACCGCCUCCCUCAGCGCCGGCGAGCGGCGGGAGCUCAAGGAGGCGCUGCGAGGGGCCAUUAAAAUCCCAACUGUGUCCUGGUCUCCAGAGGAUUUGAAUACAACUGCCAUGGCAGAAUUUGGGAGUUACAUUCAGAAAGUCUUCCCGGCUGUAUUUUCUUCAAAGUUCAUCCAGCAUGAAAUAGUAGGGAAAUACAGCCACCUGCUCACAGUGCAGGGCUCUGCCCCUGGCCUGCUGCCCUACAUGCUGCUGGCACACAUGGAUGUGGUGCCUGCUGCCCCCCAGGGCUGGGAUUUCCCUCCUUUCUCAGCUGCAGAGCACGGAGGUUUCAUCUAUGGACGAGGAACGCUGGAUAACAAAAACUCUGCUGUUGGCAUCCUGCAAGCUCUGGAAUUUCUGCUGAGGAGGAAUUACAGACCCCGCCGCUCGUUCUAUGUUGGCAUUGGCCACGAUGAGGAGGUGUCUGGGCUGAGGGGAGGCAGGAGGAUUGCGGCCCUGCUGGAGGCCAGGGGGGUGAAGCUCUCCUUCGUGCUGGAUGAGGGCAGCGCCGUGCUGGACGGGGUCAUCGCGGGUGUCACCAAGCCUGUGGCAAUGAUUGCUGUCACAGAAAAAGGUUCAAUGACACUGAACUUCACUGUGGAAAAAGAGCCAGGACAUUCAUCCUUCCCUCCUAAGGAGACAAGUAUUGGCAUUCUGGCAGCAGCCAUGUCCAGGCUGGAGCAGAAUCCUCUGCGCAACCUGUUUGGCCACGGCCCAGAGCUCAUGACCAUGGAGCACCUCGCAGCAGAGUUCAGGUUUCCUCUCAACAUCAUCAUGAGCAAUUUGUGGCUGUUCUCACCUAUUGUCAGCAGAGUCCUUGCCUGGAAACCUUCCACCAAUGCCUUGAUCCGAACGACCACUGCAGUCACCCUGUUUAAUGCAGGGAUCAAGGUGAAUGUCAUCCCCUCCUCUGCCAGAGCCACGGCGAACUUCAGGAUCCACUCAGCUGAGACGGCUGCUGAGGUGCUGGAGGCAGUGAGGAACACCAUUGCUGAUGACAGAGUGAAGAUUGAUGUGGUGGAGGCCUUUGACCCCCUGCCCAUCAGCCCGUGGGAUGAGCAGACUUUUGCAGUCCACGUUUUUCAAAGAACCAUCCUGGACACUUUCCCAGAUGUUGACAGUGUAGUCCCAGGCACGUGCAUUGGAAACACGGACAGCAGGCACUUCACCAACAUCACCAAGGCCAUUUACAGGUUCAACCCUGUGCUCCUCAGGCAGGAUGAUCUCCCCAGGAUCCAUGGGCUGAAUGAGAGAAUCUCCAUUGAGAAUUACGAGAGGCAGGUGGAGUUCCUGUUUCAGCUGAUCAAGAACUGUGACAUUGAGACACUUCCAGAGCCCCACGCCAGCUCCCACGAGCUCUGAGAGAGCUGAGGGAAGAGCAGCAGCAGCAGCAGGGUCACCUCCAGCCUUGCAUGGUGUGAGCAGAAUGCCAAGCACAUGAUGAAAACACAGAUUAAUGACUCCUGGAGCUGUUCUUUCUGUGUUGUGGUGAGUCACUGCCUCGAGCAGGGAGAGCAAUUACCUCUGACUCAGAGAAGGAAGGAAGAGCCCGAUUUUCUGCUCUGAAUUCAGGUACCUCACUCAUAUUGACAGCUACGAUUUGAGCUCUGUGUUAGCCCAAUUCCAGUGCGUGUUACAUCCAAAACAACUCCCUUUUUUCCCUGCUUGUCCCCAAAUCUGCAACGCUGAUGUUCUUGUGGCAGCACUGGCUCGGAGUGAGGUGUGUGCAGUUGUCAGGCUGCUGUGGGCCAGCUGAGCUGGGCCUGAGGAAAAGGUCACAUCCCACACCUGCAUUUUCUAAAGAAAGCUCUGUUGCUGGGCCCUCUUGAACAGAACUUGGUUUAUUUUCAGCCCCAAGCGGCCGUGGGGAGUUCAGGCUCAGGCCUGGAGGAACAAGGUGUUUACAGAGUCGUUUCCUCCAGCUCUGCAUUUGACACUUGGAUUCUUGGCUCCUCUUUUGCUGAUCCAUGUGAUGUUCUGUGGAGCUGCUGAAAUCCAUUUUCUCCAGCAGAAAUCAUUGAAUUGUUUCAUGGAGCUCCAAGGGUGUGUGGAUCCCUGAAAAUCCUGCAGGUGCCUGGCGUGAGGAGUCAGCCCUGACCCAAACUCUGUAGUGAGACCCUCCCAGGGCUGAGUCCUGAACCAGUUUUCACCCAGAUUAACCCCAAAGUGACGUGCUGUGAAGAUUUCCCUGGAUCAGUGCUGUGGAUGAGACAUCCACUGAGGAAUCUGGAGGCUGCUCAGCUGUUUUAGAGGAGCUUUUAGAGAGGAGCACUCCUCACCUGCAGCUCAGCCUGUCACCCUGAAUUCUCAGGUUUUCAGUGUUCUUCUCACUGCUGCCUGAACCCUGCACAAAUCCUUGCCAGAUCUAUUAAAUCCUCACUGGCGCUCUGGAACUCUCACAGGAUUUUUAUCCCUUCAGUCCCCAAAUUCAUAGAUAGAAUAGAUCUUCAUAGAACAUACAGUACUUUCCAAGCUCCCUCUACUCCUCUCCAAAUCUCCCAGUUUUUGAAACUGAAGUAGUUAAUCAGUUAGGGAUGCUUAUCUCACUAGUAAAAUUUUUUCAAUACCUUCUCAUAUCAAAUCUUCAAAACCAAUUGUAGGUAAUAGCUUUGCUUCAGCUGUGGCUCCUGAAAUUCCCAUGCCUGUGAAAUAUGCACUCCCUUGAGCACUGCCUAGCUAAAGAAUUGUGGAUUUUAGAAGUCAUGUCAAGGCAGGCUCUGUGUUGAUUUAAAAAUACAACAGAAAGAUUACUGUGAAUGGUUUUAUCUAUGUUCUAUGAAUCAACUCUAUGCUCUUGAAUCAGCCACUCAGGGAUGUGCUGCUGCGAGGUCUCUGUGGCACUAGCAGCUCUGUGCCACCACCCCAGGGCUGCCCAGGGAGGGAAUUUUCCUGUCCCAGCUCGGGGAGGGCUGUGUGACACCGGAGCGGGGGCUCGGCUCGGCUUUCCUGUCCCACAGAGAUAAAGGGCUGUGGUGGGGAAGGGAGGGCCCUGCUCCCUGCAGAUCCCUCUGCUGAUUGCAGAGCUGACCUCAGAGCUGUGGUGGGGGGCCCAGAGGAAGCUGCAGUCACUUCUCAGCAGGAAGGGAAAUGACCACAUGGAAGGGUGGUUAGAGGGGACAAAGGGAAAAUGCUCUUUGGCACUCGGUGAUUUGCCAAGGGCAGGGGGAUUUUACAAGUGACAUUCAAAUCAUGCAGCUUUCCCCAGCGUGCUUUCCGUGCCUCUUUUAAUUUAUGUUUUUAGCCCAGCACAAUGGUGUGGUUUAUUGCAGCCCUGUAAAUACUCAGAUCACCUGAAUAUUUGUGCCUGUCCUUGCACUACAGACAUGAUCCCGUGGAGGGGCCUGGGUCGGAUAUUCUGGAUCUGAUGUCCUUCCACUUGGAUUUUUAAAUGUUGUUACUGCAGGACUGCCUUGUUGUAUGUAAACAUGUUAAUCCAAAGUCCUGUUUGGGAUUUUGGGACAUGAUGGGGUCUUCAUGGAGCAGGAAAUAGGGGGGAAUUAAGAGAUUAUUGUGUAUUUUUUUAUCAUCAAUCUCUGCUCUGGCCAGCCUCGUGGCAUCAGUGUUUUCUUCAGCCCAAUUUUGACUAUAAAUGAAUUCCCUCCCAGCCUAUAAGUGGAACAAAGCUGACAUGUGAGGCACAUCCCCAGUGGCCCCUGACAGGUGUCCCUGUCCCUGCUGUCCCACCGCAUCCGCUGACCUUGUGCAGCACAGGAAGGCCAGGCCCAGGUGCUCUCCCGUGGCCACCAGCCCCAGGAGGGACCUGCCAGGGGCUGCCCUGUGUUUGUCACCGCAGGCCCAGCACGUGGGGGACACAGGAACACAGCUGGGACCUUGGAAAAAAGGAUGGAGAUGGGUUUAUCUGCUUCCAGGCUGGCAGAACAGAACUUCCUGCCUCUGUGUUUCUCCCCCAGCUCAGGGCCAGCUGCUGGCGUUGUCACCUGCCCGUCACCUGCCCUCGUGAGCUGCUUGUGCCCUGCAGGGACAUCUGAAGGGGCGAGUCCUGCUCCAUAACCUGCUCAGAUUUGGUUUCCUGCUUGCAAGGAAUUAAGAAGCCAAAGAUCCUUCAGGAUCCUUGCUGAGGAGCAGCUGGGGCUGCAUUUAGAUCCGUGCCAGGCAGUGAUGGAGCCAGGACAGGGAGCAAAGGCACCUCUCAGGGCACUGCCACUUCUAUCUCGGGAUUUUUGAAGUAGCCAAACCUUUUUAUCCUGCUGGAUUCUGCUGUGAAAUGGGCCCCCGAGUCCAAUCCUGGCACUUCAGCAGGGCCACAGUCACAUGGCAGCUGUAAAACACGUGGGCACGACAUUCCACCAGACAUUCCAUGAUCCAGCACAGCUCAGUGGCCAACUCCUUCCUUUCCAAACAUCUCUGUUGCCUUUGCUACCUGCUCCCUGCAAUUGGAAACCCAAUUUCCUGCCCUUUCAUCCUCUGCUUUUUUGAUCUCAGCCUGGCUGCUGGGGGUUUUAUCUAUUUCUGUUUUCCUGUCUCAGGCAGCUUUUGUCCCCACACUUCCUGAGCCUGCAGCUGGGGAGCAGCGAGGUCACAUUUGGGUGCACGUUGGUUUUUUUGGGGAGGUGAGGGAAGAAUGGAGGCUCCAUCCUGGGGGAGGGAUGGAUUUUCCAAGUCAGGAAGGAAAGGUGAAGGUGGAAGCAGAGCCUUGCAGCCAGGUUUGUUUGGACAGAGAAUGGAGUUGCCUGGAGCUGAGAUGUGCCUCUGGAUGUCUCAGGUUUUCCAUGAGGUUUCUUUGCUGGUGGAUGUCCUGAGAAGGAGCAAAAUGAUCCCAAAGUCUCCUCAUCCCUUGGAAUCCCAGGAUGGUUUGGGUUGAAAGGGACUUUAAACUUGUCUGUUCCACCCCUGCCAUGGGCAGGGACACCAGGCUGGCUCCCAGCCCCAUCCAGCCUGGCCUUGGGCACUGCCAGGGGUCCAGGGGCAGCCCCAGCUGCUCUGGGAUAAAUCCCAGGGAAGGAUUUAUCCCAAAAUCCCAUCCAUCCCUGCCCUCUGGCAGUUUAAAGCCACUGCCUCUUGUCCUGGCACUCUCCACCCCUGUAAAAAGUCCCUGAUCAGUGCUGCUUUCUCUGACCAUCUCCUGUUCUGCUCCACGUGUUCCAGUCACCCUCUUCUCCCAAAGCACCAAACAUUCCAGGAAAACACCCGGCUGUGCCCAGUUCCUGACGGGAGCAGGCAGAAGUGAAGCAGCAGAGCCACAGCUUUGGGUCACAAUUGCUGCCACGACUGCUCCGGUUUCCUUAAGGAAUGAAGUCACCAGCCCCGGGAAUGUCCCCGUGUCCCCGUGGGAAUGUGGCUCCCGUGCUGCCCUCCCCCCUCACCCGUGUCCCAGCCACCGUCAUUGGCCCAGAACUGUCUCCAAGGCCUGGGCUGGGAUCACAUCAUCACCCCGAGCAAUAACUCGCUGCUGGCUGUUUCCUGGGAGGAAAGGAAAGGCAGGAAGGAAAAACAACUGCUCAAAAUUUCCACUCAUGACAAGAAAAAAAAAUAAAAAUAAAGGAAAUAAAAGGAAGGCGUGAAUCAGAGGAGCUGGUUCAUUCAGGAACACAGAAUUCUACAGAGCAGCGAGGACCUGACCUCUGCAGCAGGAGCUUUUAUGCUCUUUAUUUAUUUGUUGUGGGACAGUUUGGCGUAAACAGGGGCAGAGGACGUGACAAUAUUCCUGAGCUUUUGUUCUGAGCUGCAUCAGCCUGGCAGAGGCCUGGAAUCAGUGGGUGCCACUGGUGCUCCUUGGCCGGGACCCGGCCGUGGUGCCCCGCAUGGGGGGGACCCUGGGAGCACCCCCGGGGGUGGCACCACAGGGCACCUGUGGCCACCUGUGAGCUCCUGGGCCAGGGGGCACAACAGGGCUGCCCCAGCGAGGGAUCUCCGGAUGGCCCAAAGAGCAGGUGAGGAACGAGUUCUUGGAGAACCGCGGUAAAUCCCGGGCUGUCCGAAUGCCAGCCCGCACCCUGCAGCCUGCCCAGCUCCGG